AGAGUUUGAUCCUGGCUCAGAUUGAACGCUGGCGGCAUGCCUUACACAUGCAAGUCGAACGGUAACAGGGAGCUUGCUCCGCUGACGAGUGGCGAACGGGUGAGUAAUAUAUCGGAACAUAUCCGGAAGUGGGGGAUAACGUAGCGAAAGUUACGCUAAUACCGCAUAUGCCCUGAGGGGGAAAGGGGGGGAUCGCAAGACCUCUCGCUUUCGGAGUGGCCGAUACCGGAUUAGCUUGUUGGUGAGGUAAAGGCUCACCAAGGCGACGAUCCGUAGCUGGUCUGAGAGGACGACCAGCCACACUGGAACUGAGACACGGUCCAGACUCCUACGGGAGGCAGCAGUGGGGAAUUUUGGACAAUGGGCGAAAGCCUGAUCCAGCCAUACCGCGUGAGUGAAGAAGGCCUUCGGGUUGUAAAGCUCUUUCAGCCGGAAAGAAAUUGCACUUCUUAAUACGAAGUGUAGAUGACGGUACCGGAAGAAGAAGCACCGGCUAACUACGUGCCAGCAGCCGCGGUAAUACGUAGGGUGCGAGCGUUAAUCGGAAUUACUGGGCGUAAAGCGUGCGCAGGCGGUUUUUUAAGUCAGAUGUGAAAUCCCCGGGCUCAACCUGGGAACUGCAUUUGAAACUGGAAGACUAGAGUAUAGCAGAGGGAGGUAGAAUUCCACGUGUAGCAGUGAAAUGCGUAGAUAUGUGGAGGAAUACCAAUGGCGAAGGCAGCCUCCUGGGUUAAUACUGACGCUCAUGCACGAAAGCGUGGGGAGCAAACAGGAUUAGAUACCCUGGUAGUCCACGCCCUAAACGAUGUCAACUAGUUGUUGGGGAAGGAGACUUUCUUAGUAACGUAGCUAACGCGUGAAGUUGACCGCCUGGGGAGUACGGUCGCAAGAUUAAAACUCAAAGGAAUUGACGGGGACCCGCACAAGCGGUGGAUUAUGUGGAUUAAUUCGAUGCAACGCGAAAAACCUUACCUACCCUUGACAUGUCAGAAAGAUUGCAAAAAUGUGAUUGUGCCCGAAAGGAAUCUGAACACAGGUGCUGCAUGGCUGUCGUCAGCUCGUGUCUGGAGAUGUUGGGUUAGUCCCGAACGAGCGCACCCUUGGCAUAAUUGCCUCAUUCAGUUGGGACUUUAAUGGAACUGCCGGGAUAAACCGGAGUAAGGUGGGGAUCCGUAAAGUCCUCAUGGCCCUUAUGGUUAGGGUUUCACACGUAAUACAAUUCCGCGUACAGAGGGUUGCCAUCCCGCGAGGGGGAGCUAAUCUCAGAGAGCGAGUCUUAGUCCGGAUUGGAGUCUGAAACUGGAUUCCAUGAUGUCGGAAUCGCUAGUAAUCGCGGAUCAGCAUGUCGCGGUGAAUACGUUCCCGGGUCUUGUACACUCCGCCCGUCUCACCAUGGGAGUGGAAUCUGCCAGAAGUAGGUAGCCUAACCGUAAGGAGGGCGCUUACCACGGUGGGUUUCAUGACUGGGGUGAAGUCGUAACAAGGUAACC
Molecule: ribosomal RNA, 1490 nt
Filed under: uncultured bacterium
Lineage: Bacteria
Description: bacterial SSU rRNA
Rfam family: Bacterial small subunit ribosomal RNA
Source: RNAcentral